This is a long non-coding RNA of Brassica rapa (field mustard), 844 nucleotides long. RefSeq lists it as uncharacterized. NCBI's taxonomy places the organism in Eukaryota, Viridiplantae, Streptophyta, Magnoliopsida, Brassicales, Brassicaceae. The record is from RefSeq and is a predicted model, not a curated record.
CUUCAGAUUACGUGUAUAUAUUCCUUUAUCUCUAUCUCUCUCGCAUUGGACUACAAUAAACGAGGUCAACUUUUUUUUCACUUUGAGUUUAUAACGACCGAUUACCACCGCCUGGUCGAUGCUUUCUUCCAUUUGAACUUAAUCGUUCCAAAGGAAACUCUUCCACAGAGCCUUACAUUUCCCUACACAAUAUAUUGCUUGCACACGCUUCUGCGACAAACUUAUACAAGAAACAAUCCCAGCACAAGCAACAGGGAUCGGUAGGCAUUGGCAUAUACAUAUACAGUGCUUUGACUGAUGUCCCCCUAGCCAACUCCAGAAGAUAAGCAGGCAAUAACUAGAUUCAACGACUUCUUUAUUGGAUGAAACAAAUGUUGAAGCGUCUACUAUAUUUUAUCACUCAGUUUCUUUGUUAGGUUUUUUUGUAAGGGUCUUACAGGUUUGGCGAGAAUCUUGAGAUGAUGAAGACCAUAGUUGGGUCUAGGUUACCCGCUUUUACCGAGGAUGAGCUUAUCUUAAACAAAUAAGUCUUCUCUCUUAAACAAAAUCUCCAUGAUUUCAACGUAGACAUGGCUGUGGAACUGACCCUGUUUGGAAACACAUCUUCAAGAAUGAGUAUGCAAAUACACCAUAGAGUCAGUAGUGUUGUAUACCAAAGAACACUACGGCAUAUUAUGUAUCUAAGGACACAGCCAGAAGUAAGUUAUCUGAGAUCAAUCCACAGAGAUCAGGCUUCUGCAAAAAUGCCUUUUAGUGCAGGUUAUUUCGACAUUUUUUUAUUUGCAGUGUCAUCUUUAUUUCGAUUGAAGUUUUUUUUUUAUCUUUUUGCCACUCUUCAGACUGU